This is a long non-coding RNA of Brassica rapa (field mustard), 8019 nucleotides long. RefSeq lists it as uncharacterized. The record is from RefSeq and is a predicted model, not a curated record. NCBI's taxonomy places the organism in Eukaryota, Viridiplantae, Streptophyta, Magnoliopsida, Brassicales, Brassicaceae.
UUGUUAGUCUAAGUUUAAAGUAAGACCAAAAAAUAAUGAGUUAAAUGAAAGGGUCGAAACAACUUUUAUAGGUAGAUUUUUUAAGACUCCUUCCCUUUUAAUAGUAUUGAUAAUUAAAAAUAUAGUAACAAAUAAAAUAUAAAAUACAUAAUAUGACAAACUAACAAAAAGUUCAUACUUUGGAUAAUAUGCUUCAACAUUCAACGUUCCAGAGCUUUGGAAUAGAUUGUAAGGAACUGAUUGCAAUGAUAAAAAAACUUCAUGCUUGGUCAAGCUUUACGACAUAAUUGGAAAGGAUAGAGACGCUACAAAUAUAUUUCCUGGACUUCAACAUCAUUCAUGUUCAACGAGCGCGGAAACAAAUUUUAGACUUUUUAGAUAAGACUACUAGAUUCUUCCAUAGGAAGUUACAUUUUAUUAGUUGUUCAAUUCCAGUCUGGUUACCCAGACCAUCUCAAGUUUAAAAAAUAGAAUAGCUUUUUUGACGUCAAAAAAAAUGUUCGUAAAUCACAAAUUUAAAGAUUUGGUGUUGCCAAAAUUUAGGCAAUAAUAAUUAAAUAAUUAAAGGAUUAUUUAAUAUAUAUUUUAGCUUUUACCUAGAAUUAAGUUACGGCUUGACAUUAAAAUUCUCAGAUGAAAAUACAAAAACUUUAUGUAUGUAAGUGAUUACUAGUAGGCCUGGGACGGAUCCAGAUAUACGGAUAUUCAGGAUACCUGGAUCCGUGAAUUUAAUAUCCGGAUCCGGAUUCGUGGCUUCCGGAUAUCCGGAUUUCAGAUAUCCGUCCAGAUAUUCUAUUACCCGCGGAUAUCCAAAUCCAGAAAAACAAUUAAAAAUAAUAAUUUUUUUAAAAUACUAAUCUUUUAAUAUAAUACAUAAAUUAAAUAUUUAUAAAUAUAUUAUAUAUGUCUAUAAUAUUGUAAAAACUAAAAUAUAUAUUAUAAGAUUAUCAUGUAUAAUAUAAUAUAUCAAAUAUAAUAUUAAUAAAACUAAAAAAAAUAUUGUGUUUUAAAAAUACGGAUCCAGAUCCGGAUAUCCAGACUUAAAAUUAAGAUAUCCAGAUUCAGAUUCGGUUUGGACGGAUCCAAGAUUUUAGUAUCCUGAUUCGGAUCUGGGCACCCUGAAUAUCCUAUUUUCGGAGCGGAUCCAGAGCGGAUCUCAGAUCGAAUCCGGAUCUCGGAUAAUAAAUCCCAGGCCCAAUUACUAGACAUUGACCCGGGCGGCCGCAUGGAUUAAACCACAUAACUUGAUCUUUUUGAAUUUAAUUAACACUUUUGAAAGUUAAAAACAUACUUUGAAGUUAGUAAACAUAAAUAUUUGAAAUCUCAUAAUUAUCACCAAAUAAUUUAUGAUUUUUAUCGAGGACCUCCAAUAUUGACUAAUACACAUGAAUUAAUAAGAAAAUAUUAAAAAGUCAUUUUAAUUGUAGAGAAAAUGAAAGUUUAUCAAACAUUGACGUAUAAGUCUUCUAUUUAGGUCAUUUUUGCAAUUGCAAAUUUUUGAAUAAAAACUUCUUAAGAAGUCUACUCUGCAGAAGAUACCUUGAGAAGUCUUCCUUUGUAAAUAUUAGCUUAAUUCUGAAUUUGAAAAAUUCUCGAAAAUGCCAGAGAAGACUUCUCGAGAAGUCUUCUCGGAUAAACAUGUUAGUUUUGCAAUUGACUGAAGUUUGUCAGAAACUUAACUUUUUACAGAAGACUUCUAUAUAAGUCUUCUGAAAGCCUUCUCAAUGUCACAAGAAAUCUACAUGAAAUACUUUUGCAAUUGACUAUAUUUGACUUUUCGAGAGAAGACUUCUAGAGAAGUCUUCUCUUGUAACCAAAGGUUUGACCAAAACCCGAAAUAAAAUUUGAGAAGACUUCUCAAGAAGUCUUCUCAUUAAUAUUAAAUGUUUCACUAAUAUUUUUCAAUUGCAAAAGUAACCCACGCAGACUUCUUUCGACAGUGAGAAUGCUUCGGGAAAACUGUUAGAGGACUUCUAUAGAAGUUUUUCCCGAGAAGUCUUUUAUAAAAAGUCCAAUUUCUGACAAACUUUGGUCAAUUGCAAAACUAACAUAUUUAUCUGAGAAGAAUUCUCAAGAAGUCUUCUUUGGGAUUUUCGGUUUAUUCUUUUAAUAAAGGAAAGUUAGAAGACUUUUAGGGAAGUCUUCUUGAUGGAGAACACAUCUAGCGAAGUCUUCUGAAAGUCUUUGCGAACAGAUCUGAGAAAAGAAAUGAUUUCAUACUUUGAGCAUGUGAGAUUACUUGCUUUGUUUCUCCAAACACCCAUAACUUCACUAUAAAAGCUACCAAGUCGUUAAUGACCAUGAAUCAUGAGCUUCAAGGUCUCUACGAAACUUACAAAGCUUGGAAUCAAAAUCUAAGGUUUUUUGGAUGAAUUUGAAGAGAGAGUGAAAGAUAUGUGAUUUGUGUGCAUAAUUAAUAAGAUAUGAAGAGUUAAAAUCGAAACUUUGGUGCAUUAAGAGCUUCAAAUUAGUUUUUAGAUGGUGGUUAGUGUAUUGAUGACAAUGACAAUAUUGUAAAUAUUUGGUGAAGAUGGGGAUGUAAAAUAAAAAAGAAGAAAAAAAGAAAGAAAAAGUGACAUUUUCGUGAAUAACUCGAAUUUCUAAGGUGAAUAAGAAAAAGAAAGUUUAAAAAAAAGCAUGGGUUAUUUUUGUGUUUGACUUGAAAUUUUAGGUCAUAUUUGAAAAAAGCCAUUUAUUAAUUUAAUAUAAUUUUAUCAUAUUUAGCUCAAUACAAUAAUUUUCUUUUAAUAUGAAUGAUUAUGAUUAUAUAAUAAUAUUUCAAAACUAAUUAUAAAAUUAGUGAAAAUAUUUACAUAUAAUUUUUGAAAAUUAAGAUCUUGUUAAAAGGGAGAAUUUUACUUCUACACUUUCUUUGGUACCACAUUUCAAGUAUACCACUAGUAUGAAGACAUUUUCACAAAUACACUUUUCAUUAAUGACCAAAAGACCAUACUAGCCCUAACCUUAUCUCUCUCUCGCGAUCCUCUUUUCUUUCUCUCUCUCUCUCUCGCGAUCUUUUUUCUUCCUCUCUGCCUCCGAUUCACCGGAGAUCCACCAUCUCUCUCUCAUUCCACCGGUUCUCUGCGGUUCACUCUGCGGUUCACUCUGUCGACUCCUACUUCUGUACAAGAUUCCCAACUGAGCGGUAGAAUCCAAUGAGAUGUGGAAGACUCAGGAGCAAGAAAACGAAAGGCUCAAAAUAAAAUCAAGAGAGGAAAGCAGCAGCAGCAGUAGCCAAAUGAAGUGGAGUAGUAGUUUCUCGAAAAGGAGUUUGGAUAAGAAAUGUAGCUCCAUUAACGAGGAGAGAAAGAUCACUCAUCAAUCAUCAUUGGACAAAAGAUUGUACUUGGAUGAUGAUGAUGAAGGUUUAGGAGAUGAUGAGAAUUGAGUCUUUUCUCCAAUCACGGUAUAUAUGUCUAUUUGCUAUAGCUUCUGUUACCUUUAGCUUCCUUCAUCUUCUGAGUCUCUUUGUAAAUGACAGGAACAAACGUGGGAGAGGCUCUGUUGGUCCUAGGAUGGAUGAAAAUGUCCCUUAUCUUCCCACCGAGAAGGUUGAUCAAUUGCAAAGUUCUGAUACAAGGGAAAGGAAGGUAGUCUUGCUGCAGCUUGGGCUCUAGCUAAUCUAUAUUAUCUUGCAUGUUAGAAAGCUCUUAUAAGGGUUUAUAAAACUAUUUAUAAGAACUUAUAAAUCAUUUUUAAGGUUUUAAAAAUAUAUUUAUAAAAGUUUAUGAAUCUGUAUAUAAGGUUUGUAAAAAUAUUAUAAGAGUUUAAUAAUCUUCAUAACACAAUUUAUAAGAGUUAAUAAAUCUUUUUCAAGAGUUUAUAAAUCUUUACAAACAUUUAGAAGUAAAAUAUUCAUAAAGCUAUUAUAAGUGUCUAUAAUUCUAAUAUAAAUGUUUGUAAAUUAUUUAUAGUAAAUAAAAGAUUAUUUAUAAUAGUUUAUAAAACAAUUAAUAAGACUUUAUAAAAUCAGUCUAUAAGGUUUUUUAAAUAUAUUAUUAAAGUAUAAUUCAUUUAUAAGAGUUUAUAAAAUCCGUUUAUAAGGAUUAUAAAUAAUUAAUAAAUGUUUAUGAAUGAUUUAUGAAGAUUUAGAAAUCAUUUAUAAACCUUUAUCAAUAGUUUAUAUAUAUUCCUCAUGUGGUGGAAAACAGCGAGAUGAUGUAGCAGAGGUUUGUGGGGAUAUUGAGUUUGCUGUAUAGUUCUUAGCUAAGAAUAAGAGCGAGUGUCUCCAAGAAGAAUGGGGAGUGUUGGAGAAGUCUCCGGAGGCGGCUUUAGAUGUGGAUCAGACGAUCUUCAUGGUUACGGCGGAAGACGUGGAGAGGAGCAAAACGACGGUGUUAUGGACAGCAAGAAACUUCUCCAGCAAGAAGAUUUGCUUGCUUUACGUCCAUCGUCCUGCUUGGCCUGCCUCCUGCAGUGAGAAUCUUAUGCUUCUCUUUCUCUCUGACUUAACUGUUUUGUGGUGAAUUAUAGAAUAUUUAUGGAUGUUGAAUUGUUCUUGAGUGUAGAUUUGCUCAUGAAUCAUGAUUGAAUCUUACCGAGUCUAUAUAUAUAUCCUUUAGUUGAUUGUGGAUGAUGUUAAUGAUGUACCUCUGUUUGCUAAGAAAAUCUGAGAAAUGAUAUAAUUGUUUUAUAAAGAAGAAGCAGAGAAACUAUAUCAAAUUAUAUCAUCAUAAUAAAAUCCUUAUAAGGCUUUAUAAAGAUAAUAAAUAAUUUAUAAAUAUUUAUAAAUCAUUUAUGAAAAUUCAGAAAUCAUUUAUAAACCUUUAUCAAUAGUUUAUAUAUAUAUUCCUAUAAAUGAUUUAUAAACCUUUAUAAAAUCACUUAUAAGAAUAUACCAAAUAUUUAUAAGGUUUUAUAAAAUCAUUUAUAAAUAUUUAGAAAGGUAAUUUCAUUUAUAAAGUCUUAAAAAUCAUUUAUAAGAUUUUAUAAAUCUUUACAUUUAGAAGUAAAAUAUUCAUAAAGCUAUUAUAAGUUUAAAAAGUAAAAUCGAUGAUAUAAAUACAUGAAGAUGCUCGUUACUAAUUUUCUGAAAAACGAAACUAGAGUAAAUGUAAAGUACAAAUGAUUUACAGCUUACAAUCACUUAUAAGAACACGUGUUAUACAUAUAUAUAUAUAUAUAUAUAUUACAGAAAGACAUGUGUCUUGUUUCUCUUAUAUGUGUUAAAAACAUAUAUAUUACAUAUAAAAACACGUGUCUUAUCUCUCUUUCUGCAACUCCAAUCUUCUUGAAAAUUGUGUUUCCUUCUGAAAACAUAAAAACAUAAGGCUAAAUAUAUAUAUAUUGUUUUACGGUUUCUUUUAUAAGGCCUUAUAAAUAUAAAAAUUGUAAUAAAUACCUCAAGCGGAUUACCUUUAUAAAAUCACUUAUAAAUUUUAUAAGAGCUUAUAAAACCUUGUAUCAACCAUCUAUAAAGUUUUUAAAACAUAUAUAAAUAUUUAUAAGAUUUUAUAAAUCUUUUUCAAGAGUUUAUAAAUCUUUUCAAGAGUUUAUAAAUCUUUUAUAAGAUUUUAUAAAUCUUUACAUUUAGAAGUAAAAUAUUCAUAAAGCUAUUAUAAGUUUAAAAAAUAAAAUCGGUGAUAUAAAUACAUGAAGAUGCUCAUUACUAAUUUUCUGAAAAAAGAAACUAGAGUAAAUGUAAAGUACAAAUGAUUUACAGCUUACAAUCACUUAUAAGAACACGUGUUACACAUAUAUAUUACAGAAAGACAUGUGUCUUGUUUCUCUUAUAUGUGUCAAGAACAUAUAUAUUACAUACAAAAACACGUGUCUUCUCUCUCUUUCUGCAACUCCAAUCUUCUUAAAAAUUGUGUUUCCCUAUGAAAACAUAAAAAUAUAAGGCUAAAUAUAUAUAUAUAUAUAUAUAUUGUUUUACGGUUUCUUUUAUAAAACCUUAUAAAUAUAAAAAUUGUAAUAAAUACCUCAAGGGGGUUACCUUUAUAAAAUCACUUAUAAAUUUUAUAAGAGCUUAUAAAACCUUGUAUCAACCAUCUAUAAAGUUUUUAAAACAUAUAUAAAUAUUUAUAAAACUAUUUAAAAGGGUUUAUAAAACUAUUUACAAGAACUUAUAAGCUAUUUAUAAGAGUUUUUACAUUUAUUUAUAAGUGUUCAUAAAUUAAUUUACAAGGUUUAUAAAUCUAUUUAUAAGAGUUUAUAAAUCACCAAAUUAACCAACUUUUCACUAUUUCUUUGCUUAUUAAGGAACAUCAUUCUUUUACAGUUUCUUUUAUAAGGCCUUAUAAAAAAGUAUAAUUGAGUAUUGAGAUGAUUGAGUAUUGAGAGAUACUUGAGGUUUCUGAAUUUAUAAUGGUUUAUAAAAAUUUAUAAAGGGUUUACAAAACCACAAUGUUAGAUGAACGUCUCAGUUCUGCAGAUGCACAUAAUGUAUCCAGACCAGAUAUAUAGCCUUCUAGGACCUUUCUCACAGCAAUAGCAAAAGCCUGAUUAACAAGAGUAUAGUGGCUCUUGUUAUUGGCUUCUUCAUUUUCACCUACUUUACAGCUCCCCCAUGUCCCUCAACUUCCAACUUGAAGUUCAUGAAAUGGGUCUACGAAGUUAUGGAGAAGAAAGACCAAAGAACCAAAACAGCCUAUGUUUCAAAGAAUCUGUCCCAAGGCGUCAGUGCUUGAUAACCGAUGCCACAAGCUCAGACUUUUGUGGGUUGUCCUAUCAGCUGGCUCAGAGCAUAAUCCAUAAGAGAGCUUCUGUAUGCUAAUAAGAGAAGAACACCUUGCAGGGCAUUCAACGCCAACCUAACCAAACUUAAUUCCUAUUAAAAAGCAACAAAAUUGUGAGAGAAUGUGGCCAAAAGUAGAAGUAGUCUCAAUAUACUUCUUUCAUUUCAUCUAAGCACUAAAGAUAUUCCAUUGUUCUGUAAUUGAUUACUAAGAAUAGAAAUCUGAGAACAUGACAUCGUAAUCUACCCUAAGAUAAUGAUUUCGUCGUAACUCAAUACAGUACAUCGAGUACUAAACUCAAAUCAAUAAAAUUGAUACUUCUUUUCCCCCAAAUCAUUUCCUAUUAGGUUUCCGAUCCUAGCCACUCAAGUGAAAUGCAAAGCUCAUGUUUCCACGCAUACAAACAUGAAAAGCGUAAAUGGUGAACUUACAGAGGCAAAUGAAGAAGACGGAGGAGAAGCACGAGUUGGAAGAGGAAAUUGGCAGCUCUAAGAAUGUAAGGACUCUCAAUUACUUGGUGGAAGGUAAAUCUCCUCCUGUUUGAGCUUCUCCAUAAGCGAAUCAAUGCUCGUCGCCACCGUCAUUAUUUCUCAAUCGAGGAGAAAGUGAGAGAUCGUCUUGUUCGCCUGAGCUUGUAGAGUUUUUCAGUUUCGUCGGAGAAUUCGUCAGCGCCGUCCGGAGAACUCGUCAGGAUCGUCGGAUUUGAUCACCGUCGAAUUCGAAAUCAAUCUGGAAACUCUCAGAUUUGGAAUUGAGGGAGAACGAGAGUAAUUUAGGUUUAAUUAUUCAGGGGUAUAAUGGUACUUUGUCUAUUAAAAUUUUAAUGGUAAAGUUGAAAAGUGUAAAGUUGAAAAGUGGUAUUAGGAAAGUGGUAUUAGUGGCAAUUCUUUUGAAAUAGAUUUGUUAGAUUUUUAAAAAUAUAUAUUUUUAUAUUUAAAAUAAAAAGAUAUCAAAAGAUGUUAUAAUUAAAUUUCUAAAGGAUGGUCCAUAUUAAAAGAAAAUCACACAUGAAAGAAGUCAUGACGUCUAUUUUAAUAGAAUUGAUGUCCCAUCUUUAUAAUAUAAAGAACUUUUUAGUUUUUACUAGUAUCUCAUAUAUAUUAAUUGAGAAACAUUGCAUCUUCUUUUUGUAGCCAUGUGUUAUGAUUAUGAUGAUUCUUAAAAUCAUUAGCGAUAUAUGUUGGUUUAUCUAAUUAUAUAAUAGUUUUUUUAUUGAACCAACCAUAAAUUCAUUAUUAGUGUUUUUAUUAUUUUUUAAAAUAAAAGUUACAUAAUUGCCUAAUAUGGCUAAAAUAUAUAUGAGAAUUAAUGAUUUUGAAUAAUAAAGAUUUGAUAAAAA